CAUGAAGCUGGAAUCGCUAGUAAUCGCGGAUCAGAAUGCCGCGGUGAAUACGUUCCCGGGUCUUGUACACACCGCCCGUCACACCAUGGGAGUCGGAAAUGCCCGAAGUCUGUGACCCAACCAUAGGGAGGGAGCAGCCGAAGGCAGGUCGGAUGACUGGGGUGAAGUCGUAACAAGGUAAC
This 182-nucleotide ribosomal RNA is filed under the name uncultured bacterium. RNAcentral's name for it is "partial 16S ribosomal RNA". It matches the Rfam family "Bacterial small subunit ribosomal RNA", at positions 1319 to 1500 of the family's 1533-position model. The record is from RNAcentral.